RNAcentral lists this ribosomal RNA (630 nucleotides) under Vibrio sp. RNAcentral's name for it is "bacterial SSU rRNA". It matches the Rfam family "Bacterial small subunit ribosomal RNA", at positions 79 to 697 of the family's 1533-position model. Lineage: Bacteria; Pseudomonadati; Pseudomonadota; Gammaproteobacteria; Vibrionales; Vibrionaceae. The record is from RNAcentral.
UUCGGGGAACGAUAACGGCGUCGAGCGGCGGACGGGUGAGUAAUGCCUAGGAAAUUGCCCUGAUGUGGGGGAUAACCAUUGGAAACGAUGGCUAAUACCGCAUGAUGCCUACGGGCCAAAGAGGGGGACCUUCGGGCCUCUCGCGUCAGGAUAUGCCUAGGUGGGAUUAGCUAGUUGGUGAGGUAAGGGCUCACCAAGGCGACGAUCCCUAGCUGGUCUGAGAGGAUGAUCAGCCACACUGGAACUGAGACACGGUCCAGACUCCUACGGGAGGCAGCAGUGGGGAAUAUUGCACAAUGGGCGCAAGCCUGAUGCAGCCAUGCCGCGUGUGUGAAGAAGGCCUUCGGGUUGUAAAGCACUUUCAGUCGUGAGGAAGGUAGUGUAGUUAAUAGCUGCAUUAUUUGACGUUAGCGACAGAAGAAGCACCGGCUAACUCCGUGCCAGCAGCCGCGGUAAUACGGAGGGUGCGAGCGUUAAUCGGAAUUACUGGGCGUAAAGCGCAUGCAGGUGGUUUGUUAAGUCAGAUGUGAAAGCCCGGGGCUCAACCUCGGAAUAGCAUUUGAAACUGGCAGACUAGAGUACUGUAGAGGGGGGUAGAAUUUCAGGUGUAGCGGUGAAAUGCGUAGAGAU